Molecule: long non-coding RNA, 7762 nt
Filed under: Solanum lycopersicum (tomato)
Lineage: Eukaryota; Viridiplantae; Streptophyta; Magnoliopsida; Solanales; Solanaceae
Description: long non-coding RNA (SLYC_LNC000722)
Source: RNAcentral
AUUAUAGUUGUCACCUGCAUGUUUAUAUUCAUAUCUAGGAGGCUUAUAUUUGUCAUGUGGAGAGUUAUACUUGUCACGUGGAUAUUUGUACUCAUCACUAGGGGGUUUGUACUUAUCAUAUGGGGAUCUAUAUUUGUCACCUGGAGAUUUGUAUUUGUCACCUGGAGACUUGUAUUCCUCACUUGGGGGCUUAUAUUUAUCACGUGAGGGAUUAUAGUUGUCACCUGCAUGUUUAUAUUCAUCUCUAGGAGCCUUAUAUUUAUCAUGUGGGAAGUUAUAUUUGUCACGUGGAUAUUUGUACUCAUCACUAGGAGGUUUGUAUUUGUCAUAUGGGGAUCUAUAUUUGUCACCUGGAGACUUAUAUUCUUCACUAGGGGACUUAUAUUUAUCACGUGGAGAGUUAUAUCCAGUAUUAUAUUUGCCACGUCCAUCACCAGAAUAUCCGCCAAUGCCAUUAUAUCCAUCAUGGUAUUCAUCAUUCUUGUCAUCCAAUUUCAUUGCUACAAAUAUCAAAUAUGAAAUUUAUAAUUAGCAUAACAUCGAAUAUAUAUCAAAUGAUUAUAUAAGAAAUACAAUAUAUAUUUCAAAGAGAUAACUAAUUAAAGAAAAAUAAUAGUAAUAAACUUACAGGUCUCACAGCUUAUCAUUGCAAAAAUAGCCAAAAGAAUGCCAAGAAAUAGAAAUUCCUUGGAACCCAUCAUUUUUUUUCUUCUUUAAAGCUUAGUUAUUUUAAUUAAAGGAUGAAGAAAUUGAAGCAACGUUGAGUUAUAUUUAUACUAAGAAUUCAAUGUAUUAAAAUUGAUAAAUGGUCACCUAUCACUUAUCUUGCUCAAUUGACACGCCAUGUAAUUAAUUAUAUUUCCUCCGUUUUAAUUUAUUUGAUUAUUUAAAUAUUCGUUUAAGAAAGGAAUUUAGUAUAGGACCACAAUGUUUAUAGUUAAUAAAAGAAAACAAUAUAUUAUUUAAUUAUAAUUUUAAAAAAUGAAUAUUUUAAUAAACAUAUAUUUUAUGUUAUGAUGGGAGUGAAUCUCAAACAAAAGAGAGAAAUGUUUUUGUUAAAUAUAUUUUUAAUACUUAAAUAAAAUCCCUAAGAGUAAUAAAUAACUUAAAAAUAUUAUUAUAUUUAUCAUAAUGCAAAUUUCUACAUUUUUUUUACGUAAUUUGUUUUUCUUAGACUUUUUUUUUUGGGGGGAAAUUUGAAUAACAGAGACUAAUUCUCCAUUACUAAUAAAAAAAAGAUUCUUAAGUUUUACUUAAACACAAAUUGUUAUAAGUUAUAACCAUUCAAAGAACUUUUCAAAAACACCUUUGACAAAAUAAAAUACGUAGAAUUUAAAAGUUUUCCCAAAUAGGUUUUAAUUACUCAGAAAAUCUUUAUUGCUUUAGUUUUCUACUUCAUAUAUUUGAAGUAUUGCUAUCAAUUUUUGUGUUAGGUGCAAUUUUUGUGUUAGGUGAUCGAUAAGUAUCUUCUACUUUUAAUUUUACGUUUUUAAAUUCAAAAUUUGAGAUAAAAUUUUGAUAGAGAACACUUUAACCCUAAAGUUGAAUAUUCUUGUUAGAGGUAAAAGUAGAGUUGGGACAUCGGAUUUAUCUAGGUAAAAUAGAGUUGGGACAUCGAAUUUAUCUGAACUUAAUCUUUUGAUGUGAGACACAAAUUUUCUGUAUAACAAUUUAUUCAAAUAGCAACAAAUGAUAUCUCUGAAUUCAUAACUUCAAAAUUACAAAUAGUUCAACACUAAAAACCUUAACCGUUAAGUUUCUCAUAAUAUUUAAAUCUAAUUUUUGAGUUAAUUUGAAUCAAUCCACAUUAAUGGUGAAUCAUUUAAUUAAAUUAGUACAUAGAACACAUCAAAAUGACAAAGUCACUAAAAACGUAAAUCUACGUACAGUAAUUAUCAAACGACCUUUAAAGGUUUGUUUGGAUAUGCUAUAUAGAAUCAUAAGCUCAAAUCACAUUGAUUUUAAGUUGAAGUUCUUUUGUAUUAAACAUGCAAUUGAAUUUCUUAAAUUGUAUUUUGCUUUUCACAAAAAUAAAACCUCACGAGUUGAAAAAGCUAUCAAAUAUUAUUAUUUUCAUAUUAUUAAUCCGUAUAUUAUUUAUGUGGUACUCAAUUUUCUACCUCAGAGUCGAUAUUGAUAAAUGAUUUUUUUUUAAAAAGUGCUUUUAAUUUAACCGUGUAACAUCAAGUCAUUUCAUAUGAUUAAUUGGUAUUAAUAAUAAAUAUAACAAAUCAUAAGGAAAACUUGUGUUAAUGAAGUCAAACAUGAGAGGUUGUUUAUGAAAUUAUCACUAAAAAGAUAAUUAACUUGAAAUACCUUAAUCUUGAUUGCUCAUAAAAGAGAGACUUCGAAAUUUCUUGACUUAAAUCUUAUGUUUUCUUAAAAUAAAUAAAAUUUAGAAACCUUUCUUUAGUUUUAAAUUUAUUCAAAUGGGUACAUGAGGAUCUAGCAAUUUUAUUAUUGAUUUGCAUAAACUUGACGUUAUUCUAGAAACUCAUAAAUUUUAAGUUCAAAGUUUUCCUAUAAUGAUUAUUGGAUAUUUUCGUGGGAUAGUAAUUGUUAAAGUAUUGUUGUUUUGAAGUAUGGCAAAGUUAAGGAAAUUGUAGUAGUAACAUGACAAAAGAAAGAAGAUGUGUGUCUUAUUUGUUGAGUUCGAAAUGUAUAAUUGUCAUCCUCAAAAAGGGGGAACUUGUUAAAAUGAUAAAGAUUUUGAUAAUUGACAAAUAUAGAAACAGGUUGUACAGACGUGUUCUUUACAGAACGAAUCCGACUUGGAUAAGGAGAACGUCAACCACGUAAAUUAGAAGUUAUAAAGUUGUGGAAUUAUUAUUUUUUCGACAAGCAACAAGUACAAAAAGUUUCCUUUUAUAAAGGAGUUCAAAGCCAAGUGAAAGAAGGAAAACUAAUUCCUAUUUAAGGAAAUUUAUUUAAGGAAAUUGUAUAGAAAAGGAGUCCAAGUAGAAGUCAACAAGGAUUUGUAGAAGGCAAAUACAAGUUGAAUUAUACAAGAAUUUGUUGAAGUUCUGAUCUAUAAAUAGGGAGUUAUUUACAUAAAAAAAAAUUGCGCACUUACAUAGAGAAGAUUAAAACACAAUCAAGAAGUUUAAAAGAGUUUAGAGAUUUAUUGGGAGUGUAGCAAUUUGUGAAUAAAAAUUGUAAGAUUGUAUCCAAGAGUCUUGUUUACAAUCUGAGUUUUGUGAGUAGGAGUUGUUCGACAAGUUAUAGAACUUGAAGAACAUUGGAACAUAUAUAACCGGGGGGUUUUGUGUCUUUGUGUAGCUAGAAUUAUUCUAGGAAUUAGAGUUUAUAAUUCCUUAGGUUACAUAGCUUUUUAAUUUUUUGUUGAAACUUGAAAUUUAAUAAAGUGGAGUUAAAUCAUACAGAGAUGUAGGUCGUGAAUUUUACCCUUGUGAGUUGGGGUUUUUAGCGAUAAAAUAUUGUGUCAUUAUUUUAUUUAUUUCACAAAACGUAAUUGUUGUAAUUUCUCAAAGGAACAUAUAGAAUAAACAUGUUUCUAAGGCGAAUUUGGGGGUCAGAAUUCUAACAAUUGGUAUCAGAGCAGGUUAUCUUUGAAGAGUCUAACAACUCAAGAUAAGAUCAUAGAGAAUUUUGCACCUCCUCUUGGGCAUGGUCAAGGGCAACACAUCAACAGACCACCAUUAUUUAAUGGAGAAUACUACUCUUGAUGGAAGACAAAAAUGGAAAAUUUCAUUCAAGCUGAAGAUUACGAACUAUGGGUUAAAAUUACUAAUGGACCAUUAGUUCCUACUAUUACUGAUAGUGAAGGGAAUAAGGUACCUAAACCUACAGAAAAGUCUGGAGAAGCCGAUUACAAGAUGUUAGGAAAGAAUGCAAAAGCUAAGUGCAUUCUCGUAUGUGGAUUAGGACCUGAUGAGUUUAACCGCAUCUCUAGUUGUACCUCUGCAAAACAAAUAUGGGACAUUUUAAAAAACGCUCGAAGGUACAACUCAAGUUCUUAAAUUCAGAAUUGCCAGACUUUGUUCUGAAUAUGAAGCCUUCAAGAUAAAAUUCGGAGAAUCACUUCAAGAUAUGAUCACCAGAUUUACCAUUGUUGUAAACGAGUUAAUAUCCUUGGACAAAGUAUACACCACUGAGGAACAGAUAGACAAAGUACUAGGGACUCUGCCUAGAUCAUGGGAAAUAAAAGUUACUGCAAUCAGAGAAGUCAAAGAUCUAAUCAAUAUGACUUUGGACGAAUUAGUAGGAAAUCUCAAGACUUAUGAGAUGAAUGUUGACAAAAGAGGUGAAGGAAACAAAGAGAAAAAUCUUGAAUUUAAAGAAACUGAAAGUGAUGAAUUUGACAUAGAUGAUGAUGAUCUUGCUCUGAUAAGUAAGAACUUCAAGAAACUCUUAAAAAGGAGAUUAAACGCUAGCAAGAAAUCACCACCCCAAAAAGUAAGAAAUAUUGAGAGACUAUUAAGCUAUAAUAGAAAACCAUUUUAAAUAGUUUUGUUUGGUACUUACAAAAAUUAUAAGAAAAGAAACAGAGAAAUCAAAUUUGGCAAGAGGUAGAGUAUGUCUCUAUGUUUAGAUCAUAUUAAUUAUUUCAUCGAUCUCAAAUUCUCAAUUUAAUUUAAAUUUUGAAUAUUAAUUCAAGUCAUUUUGAUUUUUGUACAAAUUCAACGUAUAAACAAUUCGUUUGUCACCCAUACUAACACAAAUAUGUAUGAUUACUGGUGUAGAACAUGCAAAUGAUGCCAAACUUCUAGGAAUAGGAUUUCAAGGAUAUUUAGGAGAUGGAAUAGGAGGACUUUCAAGAUCAAGAUUUGGAGGAGUCGGGUUUCCAUGGGGAGGAUAUGGUGGUUAUGGUGGUGGUCGUGGAUAUUAUGGUGGUUAUCCAAGAGGAGGAUAUGGUGGGUUUUAUCCUCGAAUUGGUUAUGGUGGAAGAGGAUACCCUAGAGGUGGUUGGUAUGGAGAAUUGCCUCGCAACUAAUUAAAUAAUUACAUACUGAGGAAUAUUUAUGUAUAUCCCUCUAAUGUAUCAGUUAUUAUGUUCACGAUAAAUAUUGAGUAGCCAAGUAUUAUUCAUAUCUAUAUAUAUUUGUAUUGUGUGUUUAAUUAAUAGGUAACGUAGUUUUGUUGUUGAAAGUAUGAAUAAAUAAAUGUAUCAUAAAUCUCCAUUCACUUACUAUGGAUGGAUGUUCAUGAUCAUGUAAUGUUUCUUUAAAUAAUAAUAUAAUUAUCAUAGAAUUUAAUUUCUUUACGUCCUUUUCCGUCUACGUAUUAUUAUUCCAAUGAUCCAAAUAGUUUAAGUGAAGUUGAAUUUUUAGUUGUAUUUGUUGACUAUAUUUCGCUUUACGUAAUAAUGGAGUUUAUAUAUUUUAGAUAAUUAAAUUUAGAUUUUUACUUUUUUCUAUUUCUAUUUUAAUAUACGAUACAUAUUUUAGGAUUAAAUAAAAUUUAAAUUUAUCGAAUAAUCCAAAGGAAAUGAAUAACCUGAUAUACAAGUGGGUUGCUUAAUUAUGAAAAAAGUCUUGUUACUGUUGGUAUGAGAUUAGUAACAGAUUUUUGAAUUCAAAGUAUAUAUAUAUAUAUAAUUAUAUAUAUUGGGACAAUACAUCGAAUUUCCUUAAAUUUGUUUCAAUUUUUCCAUUAGAUACUUAAUUAAACUUCAUUCAAAAAAAAGUACUAAUGAAAAACAAAUAGUGAAGAUCAGGGCAACAUCUCUCAAAUAACUCCAAAGGAAAUAAAUAACCUGAUCUACAAGUGGACUGCUUUAGAAAAAUUACCAUGUAUUUGAGAUCGCUUACUUCACUUCUUCUCUCGUUUGCAGAAAAAUCACCAUGUAUUUGGAAUUUCGUUCACCUCACUUCUUCUCUUGUUUGUCUCGUAUGAUGUAGCGGAUGCAAAAUUGUUAUUAAGAAUAUCAAUGGUUACAGUAAAAAAUACAAAAUUAUCGGGUCAUGUUAUGUUAUACAUGUGGAAUUAUUUUGUUUGGUGUUAGUGUCGCAUUCAAAAUUUAUUGUUGGUAUAUAAAAAUUAAUUCUCGCAAUAAUAGUUAUCAUCUAUAUAUAUUUUAGAUAAAUAACACGAAAAUGUACAAGUAUCCUUUUAGACUAUGAUCGAAAAUUCAGAGACACGCUUUAACUAAACUAAGGUCCUAUUACUUCCGAACUUAAUUUUUGUAAUUUUGUGCACCUUUUUGGCUUAUGUGACAGUCAAAUAUCUCUCACGCGCCUCAAUUGCGUGAAGUUACGGAGUGGGUCAUGUGAGACAAAAAGUAUACAAAAUUUAUAAAAAAAAACACUAGUUCAGAAAUAAUGGAACCUUAAUUUAGUUAAAAUAUGUCUCUGAGAUUUCGAUUAUAAUUUAGAGAAAUACUUAUGCGUCUUCCCAUAAAUAAUCAAUAAUUCUUUUGAAAAUGAUUUAUUAUGUUAUUACAUGUUUUCUGUAACGAUAUUUCAUUAUAGUUGUAAAAAGUAUUUGGGCAAAUGACAUUUAUCAGUUUAGUUACAUUUACCAAAAAUUUCAGCACAAUUUAGAAAAUCGUGAAGAUGCACUUGUAAUUUCUUUCCCUCUCGUUUUAAAGUAGCUUGUAAUUUGCACCAAAGGUAUGUCUUGAUUUCCAUUUUUUCGAAAAUCAAAUUAAUUAAUCUAUGAAAUCAAUUUUUAUCAUAUUAACUUAAUAAAAUUAAAAGAGUUCGAGAAGUGAAAAACAAUAUAAAAUUAGUCAAUGGGGGAGUAGUUUAACAAUAAAUUGUGAAAUAAGAAGAAACAUAUGUUUGUCGUCAACACAUAUUCAAUAUAAUCAAGAACAAGAAGAAUUAUACAUUAUGGAAAAUUGAAAAUAUAUUAUCACAGUAUAUUGUGUUACAUUUUACAACAAAAUAUUACAUGAUCAACCAUACAUAUGAACUGAAUGAUGUUUUAUUCAUACGAUUUUAGAGUAGCAAGACCAUUACUAUAUCAUACAUCUUGCCACUACAUACAACGAUUUAUAAUAUUAUUUGAUGAUUUGUUCUGAGACAAUUGGCUAGUCACUUACUCAUGGCCACCAAUGGGAGGGUUGUAUGCACCACUUCAAGGCUUGUAUUUGUCAUUAGGGGGCUUAUAUUUGUCACUUGGAGAUUUGUAUUCAUUAUCAGGGGAUUUGUAUUUGUCACCUGGAAACUUGUAAUCGUCACUUGGGGGCUUAUAUUUAUCAUGUGAGGGAUUAUAGUUGUCACCUUCAUGUUUAUAUUCAUCUCUAUAAGGCUUAUAUUUGUCACGUGAGGGAUUAUAGUUGUCACCUUCAUGUUUAUAUUCAUCUCUAGGAGGCUUAUAUUUAUCAUGUGAGGGAUUAUAGUUGUCACCUGCAUGUUUAUAUUCAUAUCUAGGAGGCUUAUAUUUGUCAUGUGGAGAGUUAUACUUGUCACGUGGAUAUUUGUACUCAUCACUAGGGGGUUUGUACUUAUCAUAUGGGGAUCUAUAUUUGUCACCUGGAGAUUUGUAUUUGUCACCUGGAGACUUGUAUUCCUCACUUGGGGGCUUAUAUUUAUCACGUGAGGGAUUAUAGUUGUCACCUGCAUGUUUAUAUUCAUCUCUAGGAGCCUUAUAUUUAUCAUGUGGGAAGUUAUAUUUGUCACGUGAAUAUUUGUACUCAUCACUAGGAGGUUUGUAUUUGUCAUAUGGGGAUCUAUAUUUGUCACCUGGAGACUUAUAUUCUUCACUAGGGGACUUAUAUUUAUCACGUGGAGAGUUAUAUCCAGUAUUAUAUUUGCCACGUCCAUCACCAGAAUAUCCGCCAAUGCCAUUAUAUCCA